Molecule: ribosomal RNA, 468 nt
Filed under: uncultured bacterium
Lineage: Bacteria
Description: bacterial SSU rRNA
Rfam family: Bacterial small subunit ribosomal RNA
Source: RNAcentral
UCGGGAAUUUUGGGCAAUGGGCGCAAGCCUGAUCCAGCCAUGCCGCGUGCAGGAUGACGGUCCUAUGGAUUGUAAACUGCUUUUUGUACAGGAAGAAACAGUUCUACGUGUAGAACCUUGACGGUACUGUAAGAAUAAGGAUCGGCUAACUCCGUGCCAGCAGCCGCGGUAAUACGGAGGAUCCAAGCGUUAUCCGGAAUCAUUGGGUUUAAAGGGUCCGUAGGCGGUUAGAUAAGUCAGUGGUGAAAGCCCAUCGCUCAACGGUGGAACGGCCAUUGAUACUGUCUGACUUGAAUUAUUAGGAAGUAACUAGAAUAUGUAGUGUAGCGGUGAAAUGCUUAGAGAUUACAUGGAAUACCAAUUGCGAAGGCAGGUUACUACUAAUGGAUUGACGCCGAUGGACGAAAGCGUGGGUAGCGAACAGGAUUAGAUACCCUAGUAGUCCCUGAGCGGGCUGGCAAGGCGCAU